UACGGGGGGAGCAAGCGUUGUUCGGAUUUACUGGGCGUAAAGGGCGCGUAGGCGGCCACUGCAAGUCAGUUGUGAAAUCUCCGGGCUUAACUCGGAAAGGUCAACUGAUACUGCAGGGCUAGAGUGCGGAAGGGGCAACUGGAAUUCUCGGUGUAGCGGUGAAAUGCGUAGAUAUCGAGAGGAACACCUGCGGCGAAGGCGGGUUGCUGGGCCGACACUGACGCUGAUGCGCGAAAGCCAGGGGA
This 245-nucleotide ribosomal RNA is filed under the name uncultured bacterium. RNAcentral describes it as "partial 16S ribosomal RNA". It matches the Rfam family "Bacterial small subunit ribosomal RNA", at positions 524 to 767 of the family's 1533-position model. The record is from RNAcentral.